Long non-coding RNA from Setaria italica (foxtail millet), 1862 nucleotides. RefSeq lists it as uncharacterized. NCBI's taxonomy places the organism in Eukaryota, Viridiplantae, Streptophyta, Magnoliopsida, Poales, Poaceae. The record is from RefSeq and is a predicted model, not a curated record. The transcript has 3 exons.
UGCUAAUUGGCUCUCUCCUGUCCUGGUUCCAAAUGUCGAUUAGCUAUUGGUUGUGAGAGGCAUGGAAAUUUCUCUGGGUAACAUAUAAAUGUAUCUUGUGCUGCAGGUUGGUGUGGAGAUCCUAUUGGCUGCCUGUCAAAAGGGCUCGUACUUCUGCUACAGUGCUACUGCAUAGUGGCCGAGCAGGUGCUCUGCACCUUCUAGAGCAACUCCUAGGUGCAAACUAAUGGUUGGUGUGGAGGUCCCAUUUGUUGCAUGGUAAAAGGGCCUGCACUACUGGCUACGGUGCUACUGCAUAGUGUCCGAGCAGGUGCUCCGCACCUUCUACGACAAUUCCUCGGAUGCAAACUACUCCCUCCAUAUCAAAUUGUGAGAUGGUAAGGAAGGAUCGCGCGAGGAUUGAGGUUGUGGGUUCGAAACUCACGCACCGCUCACGCGUAUAUUUCGUGUGAAAAAAUAGUGUGACUUGUGUGUGGGACUAAAGCUUGUUUUUCCACCGGUGUAUAUUCUUGUAUAACAUUUGCAUGUUUUCGGAAAAUUUGAAGGAUUUGUUUUUUUCACUAAAUCAAAUGAUUUUUAGCCACUUAAUUGCUAUUUAAGGUUAGUUAAAAUUUCGGGGUGUUACAGAAAUGACAAUAACUCAUUGCCCUGUCUGCAGUAAUGCAUGCAUCAAAUUUUACGUACCUAUUGCUCCUCUCCAGGGAUUUCAGUUUCUGACUAUCGAUCUCAUUUCUUGUCUCUGCCAACCCAAUGCCCUAUGGCUCUCGAAGGAGAGCUUGGAGCUAUGGCCGUAGAGCACACCAUUAUUUGUGUCAAAUGUGCGGUACUAGUACUAAAAAAAGGCCCUGUCCGGUCACUGAGUUGAAGUUUCUUUAAUUCCUCCGUCUAUGUUGUCGUUGUCAUAUUCGUUGCGUGAACCCUGCACUGCUCCUAGGCUUUUCGUCCUGUUGAUGGCUCAUGCCAAGUUGUCAUUUUUUUAAGCCCUGUUCAUGGUCCACCAGCUUCGUCCUUACAGGAUAGUGAAAUGUGUGGAAGCUGCAGCUUGGUCCUUGGGACAAAGACCUGCUUAAAAGCACUCCAUUCGGUGUAGCACGGUGAUCACACCUGCAUCGCAUGGUCCUUGAUUCAGAACACAAAUUAAACGCCACAGAGACCAUACUGCACGCAACUGGCCAAGUGUGCAAAAUACGGCCGCCGUGUGAUUCAGGCAACCUGUCCAAAUUAUCAUGUACUUGAUCCCGUUAGAUCAUGUGCCUAGCUGAGACUUGAGUGGUGAGUUUUAUCCGUACAGUCGACAACUCUCCCCAAUUGGCCAAUUGUCACGUGGUUGAGCCCAUUAGGACAUGUGCCUGAGACUUGAGCGGCUAGCUAGCUUUUAUCCACAUCCUUGAAGGCGAUCUUGCAACAGGAUCCUUCUACGAAUGCUGACAGGAAACAAGCCAAACAGAGAUACAAAAUAUUUUUUGGCGCAAAACCUUUUAGUUCUUGUUAGUAUUAGCAAUCGGGAUUAAAGAUAUGGCUUUAAUCUCGGUGACAGACCUGGGACUAAAGGUCCCGGUCUUUAGUCCCGAAUAAUUAGUUCGGUUGGGAAAAUCAAGAUCUAUUAGGUUUUUCAACUGGGAUUAAUGCUCGUUUCUCUACCAAUAAUAGCGAGUCUCAAAACAUUAUCAUUAUGUUGUUGUCUAGGUAAUGCCACGACCAUUCCGUCUGUCAAUAUAAACCAGGCUGGUUUCCUGGAAACUUUGAUCCCUCGCCCGAGCGUCCACCAUCAGGAGGGAACUGUGCAAAACAAGAAUGGCCGCCUACCACCCUUAUCGCCCCAUGCUCUGCACUGUUCCUAAUACACCAUUCUUGUUAUCGGC